This 538-nucleotide ribosomal RNA is filed under the name Metarhizium anisopliae. Its description in RNAcentral is "eukaryotic LSU rRNA". The stretch from base 156 to 309 matches the Rfam family "5.8S ribosomal RNA". Lineage: Eukaryota; Fungi; Ascomycota; Sordariomycetes; Hypocreales; Clavicipitaceae. The record is from RNAcentral.
CCUGCGGAGGGAUCAUUACCGAGUUAUCCAACUCCCAACCCCUGUGAAUUAUACCUUUAAUUGUUGCUUCGGCGGGACUUCGCGCCCGCCGGGGACCCAAACCUUCUGAAUUUUUUAAUAAGUAUCUUCUGAGUGGUUAAAAAAAAAUGAAUCAAAACUUUCAACAACGGAUCUCUUGGUUCUGGCAUCGAUGAAGAACGCAGCGAAAUGCGAUAAGUAAUGUGAAUUGCAGAAUUCAGUGAAUCAUCGAAUCUUUGAACGCACAUUGCGCCCGUCAGUAUUCUGGCGGGCAUGCCUGUUCGAGCGUCAUUACGCCCCUCAAGUCCCCUGUGGACUUGGUGUUGGGGAUCGGCGAGGCUGGUUUUCCAGCACAGCCGUCCCUUAAAUUAAUUGGCGGUCUCGCCGUGGCCCUCCUCUGCGCAGUAGUAAAACACUCGCAACAGGAGCCCGGCGCGGUCCACUGCCGUAAAACCCCCCAACUUUUUAUAGUUGACCUCGAAUCAGGUAGGACUACCCGCUGAACUUAAGCAUAUCAAUA